This 253-nucleotide ribosomal RNA is filed under the name uncultured bacterium. Its description in RNAcentral is "partial 16S ribosomal RNA". It matches the Rfam family "Bacterial small subunit ribosomal RNA", at positions 524 to 776 of the family's 1533-position model. The record is from RNAcentral.
UACAGAGGAGCCAAGCGUUGUCCGGAUUGACUGGGCGUAAAGCGCACGCAGGCGGUUGCGCGCGUGGGGUGUGAAAUCUGGCCGCUUAACGGCCAGGCGCCAUCCCAUACGGCGCGACUGGAGUGAUGCAGAGGUCGAUGGAAUUGCCGGUGUAGUGGUGAAAUGCGUAGAGAUCGGGGGGAACACCCGUGGCGAAGGCGGCCAGCUGGGCCGUCCCUGACACUGAGGCGCGAAGGCGUGGGGAGCGAACGGG